This 190-nucleotide non-coding RNA is filed under the name unclassified sequences. The record is from Rfam.
UCCGGAGUCCGCACGACCAAGGUCGCGCGGAGUGUGAUCUUGUAAAUUCAGCGGCCCACCGGCAAUGUAAACGACGUCAGGAACCUGUGGGGUAUCCGCGUGUUUGCCGGUUGUCUACACCAGUCUGGUGGUAUGUUUGUCUAAAUUCGGACGCUCAUACCUCCAUUCAUCACCAGUGGCCGCUUGCUCC